AUCCACGAAGGGUUGCAGAAUGUGCCGCGCGUGGGCCCAGCUAAGUGAGCCCCACAGCAAUACACCAUUAUGAUUUGGUAAAUUUCUUUCAGUCUGUUGAUGAGCGCGACCUUGGGAUGUUGCUGUGAUGUUAAAUGCCCCUAGUUCUGGGAAAUACGAGGAGGACCAGCAGUCGAGUGGAGGAGUACACAGAUGAUGACGGCAUCGCAGAUGGUGACGAUAGGUGCAGAUUGCCAGCAAGAUCACCGUUAAUGAAGAAGGAGAGAGAGAAGGCCCUGCCACGGUCAUUGGAGAGCCAGUACAAGUCAUCACCUGUGACAGUGGACUUUGCUCGUGGAAGAAAGUCAGGGCUUUGACUUUCUAACAGUGUCAUGGCCUUUCCAAUGCAACCUGUGUCUACAGACGAGUGUGAUGUGAAAUCGUCUCCUCGCUUCCUACAUUGACAGCGAAGGGCAAAUUGACGGUUCUGCGAGCAAACACUUGGUUGCUUGAUGAGGUUGCUUAGAGCAUGCUAAUAAAUGUGAGUCGCAGGCUCACAUUCAUCAG
Long non-coding RNA from Rhipicephalus sanguineus (brown dog tick), 546 nucleotides. RefSeq lists it as uncharacterized. The transcript has 2 exons. The record is from RefSeq and is a predicted model, not a curated record. NCBI's taxonomy places the organism in Eukaryota, Metazoa, Arthropoda, Arachnida, Ixodida, Ixodidae.